AUCAAGGUAGUUGCACGGUCUGGUGCGUUACGUGACAAUUGAUUGGCUACCGUGGAUCACCUAUCACCGAUCGGUUUGCACUUGAGAACGGUCACGGCGAUCAGUUUUGUCUCAGCUGCCAUAGAGGUCGGACCUACUCUGUUAUCACUUACCGAAGGCCAGACCAACUUCGUGGACAAACCGCCAAGUCCAAAUCUGACGAAAGCAGCCAAGCAGUCAAUCAACCAAGCAGCCAAGCAGUCAAUCAACCAAGCAGCCAGUCAAUCAGAUGAGCUGCCUCUCAGAUGCUCUACCGGUAAAAUGAUCGCAGUGAUGCAAGUCAGCGAUCGGUGAGUCGCAUGCUUUACGAUUCCUCCGGUUCCCAUCAUGUCGUAGGACGAAUGGUCCGAAGC
Long non-coding RNA from Megachile rotundata (alfalfa leafcutting bee), 392 nucleotides. Lineage: Eukaryota; Metazoa; Arthropoda; Insecta; Hymenoptera; Megachilidae. The record is from RefSeq and is a predicted model, not a curated record.